UCAUGCAAGACCUGCUUGGCACAGAGCGGCUCUGGGGGACUCGAUGCCUGCACGGCCACGCCGGGCACCUGCAGCGGCUCCACCAGCCCCCACAGCCUCCUCCCCCGAGGCCUCCUCAGAAGGACCACAGGGAGGACAAAGUCUCGGCUGCUAGGGGUCAGGUCAAGUGUGCUUCCUUGACCAGCUCCCGCCGAGCCCAGGUCUCUGGACGCUGCCAGCUUUGGACGUUGGCAGCCCGAAGCUGAGAUGCCCAACUAGCCCGGCUGCCAGGAAAUGCCAGCUGCAAGAUGAGAUUUCAGGAAUAAUAUUUUCCAAAAUCAA
Phacochoerus africanus (Common warthog) is the source of this 321-nucleotide long non-coding RNA. RefSeq lists it as uncharacterized. The transcript has 2 exons. The record is from RefSeq and is a predicted model, not a curated record. Lineage: Eukaryota; Metazoa; Chordata; Mammalia; Artiodactyla; Suidae.